GUGCACGCUGGCGGUGGCCUACCACAUGCAAGUCGCACGGCAGCACAGUAAGAGCUUGCUCUUACGGGUGGCGAGUGGCGGACGGGUGAGGAAUACAUCGGAAUCUACUUUUUCGUGGGGGAUAACGUAGGGAAACUUACGCUAAUACCGCAUACGACCUACGGGUGAAAGCAGGGGAUCUUCGGACCUUGCGCGAUUGAAUGAGCCGAUGUCGGAUUAGCUAGUUGGCGGGGUAAAGGCCCACCAAGGCGACGAUCCGUAGCUGGUCUGAGAGGAUGAUCAGCCACACUGGAACUGAGACACGGUCCAGACUCCUACGGGAGGCAGCAGUGGGGAAUAUUGGACAAUGGGCGCAAGCCUGAUCCAGCCAUACCGCGUGGGUGAAGAAGGCCUUCGGGUUGUAAAGCCCUUUUGUUGGGAAAGAAAAGCAGCAGGUUAAUACCCCGCUGUUCUGACGGUACCCAAAGAAUAAGCACCGGCUAACUUCGUG
This 490-nucleotide ribosomal RNA is filed under the name uncultured bacterium. RNAcentral's name for it is "partial 16S ribosomal RNA". It matches the Rfam family "Bacterial small subunit ribosomal RNA", at positions 29 to 507 of the family's 1533-position model. The record is from RNAcentral.